Long non-coding RNA from Oncorhynchus mykiss (rainbow trout), 3537 nucleotides. The record is from Ensembl. Lineage: Eukaryota; Metazoa; Chordata; Actinopteri; Salmoniformes; Salmonidae.
CAGCUUCUACCCGCAAACCACAAGACUGAUGAACAAUUAACCACCUGGACUAUUUACAUUGACCCUGUCCCCCUGGUUUUAACACAGCUGCUACUCACUGUUUAUUAUCUAUGCAUAAUCACUUUACCCUACCUGCAUGUACAAACCUCAACUAACCUGUACCGCACACUGACUCAGUACCGGUACACCCUGUAUCUAGCCUCCACACUGACUCAGUACCGGUACACCCUGUAUCUAGCCUCCACACUGACUCAGUACCGUAAUACCCUGUAUCUAGCCUCCACACUGACUCAGUACCGUAAUACCCUGUAUAUAGCCUCCACACCGACUCAGUACCGGUACACCCUGUAUCUAGCCUCCACACUGACUCAGUACCGGUACACCCUGUAUCUAGCCUCCACACUGACUCAGUACCGUUACACCCUGUAUCUAGGCUCCACACUGACUCAGUACCGGUACACCCUGUAUCUAGCCUCCACACUGACUCAGUACCGGUACACCCUGUAUAUAGCCUCCACUUUGACUCUGUACCGUAAUACCCAGUAUAUAGCCUCCACACUGACUCAGUACCGGUACCCCCUGUAUAUAUCCUCCACAUUGACUCUGUACCGUAAUACCCUGUAUAUAGCCUCCACAUUGACUCUGUACCGUAAUACCCUGUAUAUAGCCUCCACAUUGACUCUGUACCGUAAUACCCUGUAUAUAGCCUCCACAUUGACUCUGUACCGGUACCCCCUGUAUAUAGCCUCCACAUUGACUCUGUACCAGUACCCCCUGUAUAUAGCCUCCACAUUGACUCUGUACCGUAAUACCCUGUAUAUAGCCUCUACAUUGACUCUGUACCGUAAUACCCUGUAUAUAGUCUCCACAUUGACUCUGUACCGUAAUACCCUGUAUAUAGCCUCCACAUUGACUCUGUACCGUAAUACCCUGUAUAUAGUCUCCACAUUGACUCUGUACCGUAACCCCCUGUAUAUAGCCUCCACAUUGACUCUGUACCGUAAUACCCUGUAUAUAGCCUCCACAUUGACUCUGUACCGUAAUACCCUGUAUAUAGCCUCCACAUUGACUCUGUACCGUAACACCCUGUAUAUAGCCUCCACAUUGACUCUGUACCGUAAUACCCUGUAUAUAGCCUCCACAUUGACUCUGUACCGUAAUACCCUGUAUAUAGCCUCCACAUUGACUCUGUACCGUAACACCCUGUAUAUAGCCUCCACAUUGACUCUGUACCGUAAUACCCUGUAUAUAGCCUCCACAUUGACUCUGUACCGUAAUACCCUGUAUAUAGCCUCCACAUUGACUCUGUACCGUAAUACCCUGUAUAUAGCCUCCACAUUGACUCUGUACCGUAAUACCCUGUAUAUAGCCUCCACAUUGACUCUGUACCGUAAUACCCUGUAUAUAGCCUCCACAUUGACUCUGUACCGUAAUAUUCUGUAUAUAACCUCCACAUUGACUCUGUACCGUAACCCCCUGUAUAUAGCCUCCACAUUGACUCUGUACCGUAAUACCCUGCAUAUAGCCUCCACAUUGACUCUGUACCGUAAUACCCUGUAUAUAGCCUCCACAUUGACUCUGUACCGUAACACCCUGUAUAUAGCCUCCACAUUGACUCUGUACCGUAAUACCCUGUAUAUAGUCUCCACAUUGACUCUGUACCAGUACCCCCUGUAUAUAGCCUCCACAUUGACUCUGUACCAGUACCCCCUGAAUAUAACCUCCACAUUGACUCUGUACCGUAAUACCCUGUAUAUAGCCUCCAUAUUGACUCUGUACCGUAAUACCCUGUAUAUAGCCUCCACAUUGACUCUGUACCGUAACACCCUGUAUAUAGCCUCCACAUUGACUCUGUACCGUAACACCCUGUAUAUAGCCUCCACAUUGACUCUGUACCGUAAUACCCUGUAUAUAGCCUCCACAUUGACUCUGUACCGUAAUACCCUGUAUAUAGCCUCCACAUUGACUCUGUACCGUAAUACCCUGUAUAUAGCCUCCACAUUGACUCUGUACCGUAACACCCUGUAUAUAGCCUCCACAUUGACUCUGUACCGUAAUACCCUGUAUAUAGCCUCCACAUUGACUCUGUACCGUAAUACCCUGUAUAUAGCCUCCACAUUGACUCUGUACCGUAAUACCCUGUAUAUAGCCUCCACAUUGACUCUGUACCGUAAUACCCUGUAUAUAGCCUCCACAUUGACUCUGUACCGUAAUAUUCUGUAUAUAACCUCCACAUUGACUCUGUACCGUAACCCCCUGUAUAUAGCCUCCACAUUGACUCUGUACCGUAAUACCCUGCAUAUAGCCUCCACAUUGACUCUGUACCGUAAUACCCUGUAUAUAGCAUCCACAUUGACUCUGUACCGUAACACCCUGUAUAUAGCCUCCACAUUGACUCUGUACCGUAAUACCCUGUAUAUAGUCUCCACAUUGACUCUGUACCAGUACCCCCUGUAUAUAGCCUCCACAUUGACUCUGUACCAGUACCCCCUGAAUAUAACCUCCACAUUGACUCUGUACCGUAAUACCCUGUAUAUAGCCUCCAUAUUGACUCUGUACCGGUACACCCUGUAUAUAGCCUCCACAUUGACUCUGUACCGUAAUACCCUGUAUAUAGCCUCCACAUUGACUCUGUACCGUAACACCCUGUAUAUAGCCUCCACAUUGACUCUGUACCGUAACACCCUGUAUAUAGCCUCCACAUUGACUCUGUACCGUAACACCCUGUAUAUAGCCUCCACAUUGACUCUGUACCGUAACACCCUGUAUAUAGCCUCCACAUUGACUCUGUACCGUAACACCCUGUAUAUAGCCUCCACAUUGACUCUGUACCGUAAUACCCUGUAUAUAGUCUCCACAUUGACUCUGUACCAGUACCCCCUGUAUAUAGCCUCCACAUUGACUCUGUACCAGUACCCCCUGAAUAUAACCUCCACAUUGACUCUGUACCGUAAUACCCUGUAUAUAGCCUUCAUAUUGACUCUGUACCGGUACACCCUGUAUAUAGCCUCCACAUUGACUCUGUACCGUAAUACCCUGUAUAUAGCCUCCACAUUGACUCUGUACCGUAACACCCUGUAUAUAGCCUCCACAUUGACUCUGUACCGUAACACCCUGUAUAUAGCCUCCACAUUGACUCUGUACCGUAACACCCUGUAUAUAGCCUCCACAUUGACUCUGUACCGUAACACCCUGUAUAUAGCCUCCACAUUGACUCUGUACCGUAACACCCUGUAUAUAGCCUCCACAUUGACUCUGUACCGUAACACCCUGUAUAUAGCCUCCACAUUGACUCUGUACCGGUACCCCCUGUAUAUAGCCUCCACAUUGACUCUGUACCGUAAUACCCUGUAUAUAGCCUCCACAUUGACUCUGUACCGUAACACCCUGUAUAUAGCCUCCACAUUGACUCUGUACCGGUACCCCCUGUAUAUAGCCUCCACAUUGACUCUGUACCGUAAUACCCUGUAUAUAGCCUCGUUAUUGUUAUGUUACUUUUUAUUAUUAUUUUUUAAAUUUCUUGAGUUUAUUUGUUAA